GGUGGGGUUCCCGAGCGGCCAAAGGGAGCAGACUGUAAAUCUGCCGUCAUCGACUUCGAAGGUUCGAAUCCUUCCCNAGCGA
This 82-nucleotide transfer RNA is filed under the name Salmonella enterica subsp. enterica serovar Derby. RNAcentral describes it as "tRNA-Tyr". It matches the Rfam family "tRNA". From Rfam's summary of the family: Transfer RNA (tRNA) molecules are approximately 80 nucleotides in length. The record is from RNAcentral. Lineage: Bacteria; Pseudomonadati; Pseudomonadota; Gammaproteobacteria; Enterobacterales; Enterobacteriaceae.